CAGCCGUAAACUAUGCGCGUUAAGUGUAUCGGUGACCACGAGUUACCGAGGUGCCGAAGGGAAACCGUGAAACGUGCCGCCUGGGAAGUACGGUCGCAAGGCUGAAACUUAAAGGAAUUGGCGGGGGAGCACCACAACAGGUGGAGCCUGCGGUUUAAUUGGACUCAACGCCGGGAAGCUCACCGGAUAGGACAGCAGAAUGAUUGCCGGGCUGAAGACCCUGCAUGACUAGCUGAGAGGAGGUGCAUGGCGUCAGUGACU
Molecule: ribosomal RNA, 261 nt
Filed under: uncultured archaeon
Lineage: Archaea
Description: partial 16S ribosomal RNA
Rfam family: Archaeal small subunit ribosomal RNA
Source: RNAcentral